GACCCCAGGUCAGGCGGGCUACCCGCUGAGUUUAAGCAUAUCAAUAGCCGGGAGGA
This 56-nucleotide ribosomal RNA is filed under the name Morus mongolica. RNAcentral's name for it is "partial 28S ribosomal RNA". Lineage: Eukaryota; Viridiplantae; Streptophyta; Magnoliopsida; Rosales; Moraceae. The record is from RNAcentral.